RNAcentral lists this ribosomal RNA (267 nucleotides) under uncultured bacterium. Its description in RNAcentral is "partial 16S ribosomal RNA". It matches the Rfam family "Bacterial small subunit ribosomal RNA", at positions 793 to 1055 of the family's 1533-position model. The record is from RNAcentral.
GUCCACGCCGUAAACUAUGGAUGCUAGCUGUUAGAGGUAUCGACCCCUCUAGUAGCGAAGCUAACGCGUUAAGCAUCCCGCCUGUGGAGUACGAGCGCAAGCUUAAAACAUAAAGGAAUUGACGGGGACCCCGCACAAGCGGUGGAGCGUGUUCUUUAAUUCGAAGGUAAGCGAAGAACCUUACCAAGGUUUGACAUCCUGCGAAUUUCUCCGAAAGGAGAGAGUGCUUUUAUUAGAGCGCAGUGACAGGUGUUGCAUGGCCGUCGU